GCAGUGGCUGUGAGCAGAGCCCAGGUGCAGCAGGAGACGGCGGCAGAGACCAGCGAGGGCAUCGGCAUCAACAUCACCUGCUCACACCCCAACUUACGAUCCGAGGAGAGCAUCCACUGGUACCGUCAGCUCCAGGGCCGAGGACACACAUUCCUCGUCAGUGCCUUGAAGGGCCCCAAGGAGGUUCCGGACCUCGAGGGGCAGCUGUGGGUGUCGGCAGACCGCCGCUCCAGUGCCAUCUGGGUCGCGCGGCCCCGGCUCGGGGACGCGGCGGUGUAUUACUGCGCCGUGGGCGCACAGGAAUCGAAGCCGGGGCUGCGGCCGGGCACGAACCACUUAGGGCGGGGCGGGAGCGCAGUGCCGUCCGGGCCCGCAGGGGGCGCUGCCUGCAUGGCCGCCAAACUCCAUCCCUGA
Molecule: non-coding RNA, 414 nt
Organism: Meleagris gallopavo (turkey)
Lineage: Eukaryota; Metazoa; Chordata; Aves; Galliformes; Phasianidae
Source: the annotation of a RefSeq genome assembly